UUGGAGGCGAUGUCAUUGCGCUGUGUUUUGGCUGGUAUUAUGUUGGGGGGGUACACGGAGAACUGCAGCAGCCAGGCAGUAACCAGCGGCUGAGGAUCGUGGGGAAGUCCAGAAAAUCAGGUGCAAAAGUGCAGGCAGGUUUGAGGAGAU
Long non-coding RNA from Thalassophryne amazonica, 150 nucleotides. RefSeq lists it as uncharacterized. Lineage: Eukaryota; Metazoa; Chordata; Actinopteri; Batrachoidiformes; Batrachoididae. The transcript has 3 exons. The record is from RefSeq and is a predicted model, not a curated record.